UCAAAUUUGGUGUGAUACUA
This 20-nucleotide non-coding RNA is filed under the name Arabidopsis thaliana (thale cress). Lineage: Eukaryota; Viridiplantae; Streptophyta; Magnoliopsida; Brassicales; Brassicaceae. The record is from RNAcentral.